This 63-nucleotide transfer RNA is filed under the name Coraebus cloueti. Its description in RNAcentral is "tRNA-Pro". The record is from RNAcentral. Lineage: Eukaryota; Metazoa; Arthropoda; Insecta; Coleoptera; Buprestidae.
CAGAGAAUAGUUUAAUAAGAAUAUUAAUUUUGGAGAUUAAUGGUAGGUGGUACUUUUCUCUGA